CCUACGGGAGGCAGCAGUGGGGGAUAUUGCACAAUGGGGGGAACCCUGAUGCAGCGACGCAGCGUGGGUGAAGAAGCGCCUCGGCGCGUAAAGCCCUGUCAGCAGGGAAGAAAAUGACGGUACCUGAAGAAGAAGCCCCGGCUAACUACGUGCCAGCAGCCGCGGGAAUACGUAGGGGGCAAGCGUUAUCCGGAAUUACUGGGGGGAAAGGGGGCGGAGACGGCUGUGCGAGCAAGGAGUGAAAGCCCGGGGCCCAACCCCGGGACUGCUCUUGGAACUGCGUGGCGGGAGUGCAGGAGGGGCAGGCGGAAUUCCUUGUGUAGCGGUGAAAUGCGUAGAUAUCAGGAGGAACACCGGUGGCGAAGGCGGCCUGCUGGACUGCAACUGACGUUGAGGCCCGAAAGCGUGGGGAGCAAACAGGAUUAGAUACCCUGGUAGUC
Molecule: ribosomal RNA, 440 nt
Filed under: uncultured bacterium
Lineage: Bacteria
Description: partial 16S ribosomal RNA
Rfam family: Bacterial small subunit ribosomal RNA
Source: RNAcentral